UACGGAGGGUGCGAGCGUUAAUCGGAAUAACUGGGCGCAAAGGGCACGCAGGCGGGAUAUUAAGUGAGAUGUGAAAUCCCCGGGCUUAACCUGGGAAUAGCAUUUCAGACUGGGAGUCUAGAGUACUUUAGGGAGGGGUAGAAUUCCACGUGUAGCGGUGAAAUGCGUAGAGAUGUGGAGGAAUACCGAAGGCGAAGGCAGCCCCGUGGGAAUGUACUGACGCUCAUGUGCGUAAGCGUGGGGAGCAAACAGG
This 253-nucleotide ribosomal RNA is filed under the name uncultured bacterium. RNAcentral's name for it is "partial 16S ribosomal RNA". It matches the Rfam family "Bacterial small subunit ribosomal RNA", at positions 524 to 776 of the family's 1533-position model. The record is from RNAcentral.